CAGCCGCCGCGGUAAUACCGGCGGCCCGAGUGGCGGUCACUAUUAUUGGGCUUAAAGCGUCCGUAGCCGGGUUGGGAAGUCCUCCGGGAAAUCUGGCCGCUUAAAGGUCAGAAUGCCGGAGGAUACUCCCAGCCUAGGGAGCGGGAGAGGCCGAGGGUAUUCCCGGAGUAGGGGUGAAAUCCUAUAAUCCCCGGAGGACCACCUGUGGCGAAGGCGCUCGGCUGGAACGCGUCCGACGGUGAGGGACGAAGGCCAGGGGAGCAAACCGGAUUAGAUACCCGGGUAGUCCUGGCUGUAAACGAUGCGGACUUUGUGUCGGACAAGCUAUGAGCUUGUCCGGUGCCGGAGGGAAACCGUUAAGUCCGCCGCCUGGGGAGUACGGCCGCAAGGCUGAAACUUAAAGGGAUUGGCGGG
RNAcentral lists this ribosomal RNA (414 nucleotides) under uncultured microorganism. RNAcentral describes it as "bacterial SSU rRNA". It matches the Rfam family "Archaeal small subunit ribosomal RNA", at positions 459 to 872 of the family's 1478-position model. The record is from RNAcentral.